This 447-nucleotide ribosomal RNA is filed under the name uncultured bacterium. Its description in RNAcentral is "bacterial SSU rRNA". It matches the Rfam family "Bacterial small subunit ribosomal RNA", at positions 331 to 792 of the family's 1533-position model. The record is from RNAcentral.
CCAGACUCCUACGGGAGGCAGCAGUGGGGAAUAUUGCGCAAUGGGCGAAAGCCUGACGCAGCGACGCCGCGUGAAGGAAGAAGGGUUUCGGCUCGUAAACUUCUAUCAACAGGGACGAAAGAAAUGACGGUACCUGACUAAGAAGCCCCGGCUAACUACGUGCCAGCAGCCGCGGGAAUACGUAGGGGGCAAGCGUUAUCCGGAUUCACUGGGUGUAAAGGGAGCGUAGACGGCGACGCAAGUCUGGAGUGAAAGCCCGGGGCCCAACCCCGGGACUGCUCUGGAAACUGCGGCGCUGGAGUACGGGAGGGGCAGGCGGAAUUCCUGGUGUAGCGGUGAAAUGCGUAGAUAUCAGGAGGAACACCGGCGGCGAAGGCGGCCUGCUGGACCGUGACUGACGUUGAGGCUCGAGAGCGUGGGGAGCAAACAGGAUUAGAUACCCCCGUA